UACGGAUGGGGCAAGCGUUGUUCGGAAUUACUGGGCGUAAAGGGCGCGUAGGCGGCGUGACAGGUCAGGCGUGAAAGCCCCGGGCUCAACCUGAGAACUGCGCUUGAUACGGUCAUGCUAGAGGUUGGGAGAGGAGAGUGGAAUUCCCAGUGUAGAGGUGAAAUUCGUAGAUAUUGGGAAGAACACCAGUGGCGAAGGCGGCUCUCUGGCCCAUACCUGACGCUGAGGCGCGAAAGCGUGGGGAGCAAACAGG
This 253-nucleotide ribosomal RNA is filed under the name uncultured bacterium. RNAcentral's name for it is "partial 16S ribosomal RNA". It matches the Rfam family "Bacterial small subunit ribosomal RNA", at positions 524 to 776 of the family's 1533-position model. The record is from RNAcentral.